UUCGCAAUGCCCGAAAGGGUGACGAAGCGACGCCGCGUGUGGGAAGAAGGCCUUCGGGUUGUAAACCACUGUCGGGAGUUAAGAAAUGCAAGGAUAUGAAUAGUGUCUUUGCUUGACUAAGGCUCCGGAGGAAGCCACGGCUAACUCUGUGCCAGCAGCCGCGGUAAUACAGAGGCGGCAAGCGUUGUUCGGAAUUAUUGGGCGUAAAGAGCACGUAGGCGGCUAUGUAAGUCGGUUGUGAAAGCCUUCCGCUCAACGGGAGAACAGCAUCCGAUACUACAUGGCUCGAGUGCGGGAGGGGAGAGUGGAACUUCUGGUGGAGCGGUGAAAUGCGUAGAUAUCAGAAGGAACGCCGGCGGCGAAAGCGGCUCUCUGGCCCAUAACUGACGCUGAGUGUGCGAAAGCUAGGGGAGCAAACGGGAUUAGAUACCCCGGUAGUCCUAGCCGUAAACGAUGGGCACUAAGUAGAGGGGUUUU
RNAcentral lists this ribosomal RNA (477 nucleotides) under uncultured bacterium. RNAcentral's name for it is "bacterial SSU rRNA". It matches the Rfam family "Bacterial small subunit ribosomal RNA", at positions 365 to 832 of the family's 1533-position model. The record is from RNAcentral.